RNAcentral lists this transfer RNA (82 nucleotides) under Actinomycetales bacterium mxb001. RNAcentral's name for it is "tRNA-Leu". It matches the Rfam family "tRNA". Rfam says of the family: Transfer RNA (tRNA) molecules are approximately 80 nucleotides in length. Their secondary structure includes four short double-helical elements and three loops (D, anti-codon, and T loops). Lineage: Bacteria; Bacillati; Actinomycetota; Actinomycetes; Actinomycetales. The record is from RNAcentral.
GCGGAAGUGGUGGAACUGGCAGACACGCAGGAUUUAGGUUCCUGUGCCUUCGGGUGUGCGGGUUCAAGUCCCGCCUUCCGCA